Molecule: transfer RNA, 75 nt
Filed under: Aquimonas voraii
Lineage: Bacteria; Pseudomonadati; Pseudomonadota; Gammaproteobacteria; Lysobacterales; Lysobacteraceae
Also listed under: 2 other names
Description: tRNA_Lys_TTT
Rfam family: tRNA
About the family: Transfer RNA (tRNA) molecules are approximately 80 nucleotides in length. Their secondary structure includes four short double-helical elements and three loops (D, anti-codon, and T loops). Further hydrogen bonds mediate the characteristic L-shaped molecular structure. tRNAs have two regions of fundamental functional importance: the anti-codon, which is responsible for specific mRNA codon recognition, and the 3' end, to which the tRNAs corresponding amino acid is attached (by aminoacyl-tRNA synthetases). tRNAs cope with the degeneracy of the genetic code in two manners: having more than one tRNA (with a specific anti-codon) for a particular amino acid; and 'wobble' base-pairing, i.e. permitting non-standard base-pairing at the 3rd anti-codon position.
Source: RNAcentral
GGGUCGUUAGCUCAGCGGUAGAGCUGCGGACUUUUAAUCCGUAGGUCGAAGGUUCGAAUCCUUCACGACCCACCA